RNAcentral lists this ribosomal RNA (465 nucleotides) under uncultured bacterium. RNAcentral's name for it is "partial 16S ribosomal RNA". It matches the Rfam family "Bacterial small subunit ribosomal RNA", at positions 28 to 507 of the family's 1533-position model. The record is from RNAcentral.
GACGAACGCUGGCGGCGUGCUUAACACAUGCAAGUCGAACGGAAAGGCCCUGCUUGCAGGGUACUCGAGUGGCGAACGGGUGAGUAACACGUGGGUGAUCUGCCCUGCACUUCGGGAUAAGCCUGGGAAACUGGGUCUAAUACCGGAUAGGAGCCAUUUUUAGUGUGAUGGUUGGAAAGUUUUUUCGGUGUAGGAUGAGCUCGCGGCCUAUCAGCUUGUUGGUGGGGUAAUGGCCUACCAAGGCGGCGACGGGUAGCCGGCCUGAGAGGGUGGACGGCCACAUUGGGACUGAGAGACGGCCCAGACUCCUACGGGAGGCAGCAGUGGGGAAUAUUGCACAAUGGGCGCAAGCCUGAUGCAGCGACGCCGCGUGUGGGAUGACGGCCUUCUGGUUGUAAACUCCUUUCGCUAGGGACGAAGCUUUUUGUGACGGUACCUAGAUAAGAAGCACCGGCUAACUACGUG